CCUACGGGCGGCAGCAGUGGGGAAUAUUGGACAAUGGGGGGAACCCUGAUCCAGCCAUGCCGCGUGUGUGAAGAAGGCCCUCGGGUUGUAAAGCACUUUCAGUGAGGAAGAACGCCUGGUGGUUAAUACCCAUCAGGAAAGACAUCACUCACAGAAGAAGCACCGGCUAACUCCGUGCCAGCAGCCGCGGUAAUACGGAGGGUGCGAGCGUUAAUCGGAAUUACUGGGCGUAAAGCGCGCGUAGGUGGCUUGAUAAGCCGGUUGUGAAAGCCCCGGGCUCAACCUGGGAACGGCAUCCGGAACUGUCAAGCUAGAGUGCAGGAGAGGAAGGUAGAAUUCCCGGUGUAGCGGUGAAAUGCGUAGAGAUCGGGAGGAAUACCAGUGGCGAAGGCGGCCUCCUGGACUGACACUGACGCUGAGGUGCGAAAGCGUGGGUAGCAAACAGGAUUAGAUACCCUAGUAGUC
RNAcentral lists this ribosomal RNA (465 nucleotides) under Vreelandella stevensii. RNAcentral describes it as "partial 16S ribosomal RNA". It matches the Rfam family "Bacterial small subunit ribosomal RNA", at positions 338 to 795 of the family's 1533-position model. Lineage: Bacteria; Pseudomonadati; Pseudomonadota; Gammaproteobacteria; Oceanospirillales; Halomonadaceae. The record is from RNAcentral.